Molecule: transfer RNA, 65 nt
Filed under: Eurhadina cuii
Lineage: Eukaryota; Metazoa; Arthropoda; Insecta; Hemiptera; Cicadellidae
Description: tRNA-Val
Source: RNAcentral
AAUAAGGUAGCUUAUAUAAAGUUAAUUAUUUACAUUAAUUAGAAAAUUAAUUUAAUUUCUUAUUA